GUCUUCGGAUCGUAAAGCUCUGUCCUAUGGGAAGAACACAAUGACGGUACCAUAGGAGGAAGCCCCGGCUAACUACGUGCCAGCAGCCGCGGUAAUACGUAGGGGGCAAGCGUUAUCCGGAAUCACUGGGCGUAAAGGGUGCGUAGGCGGUCUAUCAAGCCAGAAGUGAAAGGCAUUGGCUCAACCAAUGUAAGCUUUUGGAACUGAUGGACUUGAGUGCAGGAGAGGAAAGUGGAAUUCCUAGUGUAGAGGUGAAAUUCGUAGAUAUUAGGAGGAACACCAGUGGCGAAGGCGACUUUCUGGACUGUAACUGACGCUGAGGCACGAAAGUGUGGGGAGCGAACAGGAUUAGAUACCCUGGUAGUCCACACCGUAAACGAUGAAUACUAGGUGUCGGGGGUCGAACCUCGGUGCCGCAGCUAACGCAUUAAGUAUUCCGCCUGGGGAGUACGCACGCAAGUGUG
RNAcentral lists this ribosomal RNA (464 nucleotides) under uncultured bacterium. RNAcentral describes it as "bacterial SSU rRNA". It matches the Rfam family "Bacterial small subunit ribosomal RNA", at positions 414 to 896 of the family's 1533-position model. The record is from RNAcentral.